GUUUGCUUUUUAUCUCUCUAAAUAGAGGGAUAAAAAAAAAUUAUGCCUUUAAAUAUUUGCUUUCUUAUCUCACAUUUUACACAAACACCAUUUUUCCUUCCUUAUUUUCACUUCAAGGAAGGAUAAUAUUAUCACACCAAAAUGGAGGGAUAAUACUAUCCCUCCUUAAAGUGAAAAUAAGGAAAGAAAAAUAGUGUUUGUGUAAAAUAUGGGAUAAGAAUUCGGUAUCAGACCGGAGAACUUGUUAAUCUCGCCAUGUUAAUUUCGUUGAUCGAACGUCAAGAGCUUAAAGAAUUCAGUAUCAGACCGGAGAACUUGUUCCCCUCCAAAUACAGAGUUGUGAGCUGUUUCAGCUCCCUGAUUCCAGCCGGAAUCAAGCCGGAGAAGCCGUUGUUGUGCAAGUCGAUCGACACUAGCGACGCAACCUUGGAAAUGUCAGCAAGCACUUGCGCUUCGAGGUGUUGGUGGCGCCGCUGGAAUCAGGCUCGAACACAAGGAGCGUGGCGGAGACGGUGAGUAGGACUAGGGAAUUGAUGAUGUAAGGGGUGAAUUUGUGGUGGUUGAGGAAGAGGGAGAAGAUGGCGUUGAACCAUAAUUGGCUCGCAUAGAUCAGCGUGUAGGUGGUGACCGGGAUGUAUCGGAUUCCUGCCGAGUAGAGCAUGCAAUCGACGGCCAAAAACACUUCGAUUGCUUAUGCCGCCGUUGUCGUAGUACAAUCUAUCGAGGAUUGUUCCGACGGUCUGUCUAGCGAGGACGAAGAAUGAGUAGAUGAGCAUUUCUAGCCACCAUUUGUACUGUGUCACCAAAGAUUUCUUCUUGAUUUCGGGCGCGCUGUUGGUUUCAGACGAAAAAGUAUUAGUUGAUGUGGGAUGGAAGACGAUAUAAUAUACCAAUUAUAAGCGUUUGGGUUGCUUUGUUUAUUGAUGACAAGAUUGAUUAUGUAAUUAAAAUGUUAGCUUUCAAGUGACUAGAUAGCACAUUAUGAGUGA
Molecule: long non-coding RNA, 989 nt
Organism: Salvia miltiorrhiza (redroot sage)
Lineage: Eukaryota; Viridiplantae; Streptophyta; Magnoliopsida; Lamiales; Lamiaceae
Exons: 2
Source: RefSeq, a predicted model, not a curated record